UAAUAUAAAAUAAGACAUAAUAAAACACCAUAGAUUUUCAUCUCUCUCUUAACAACAAAAAAACAGAUCUUCUUUCCCUUAAUUCCAUCAUCAUACACAAACCCACCACAUCAUAUUUAAUAAUAACAACCAUAGUCAAGCGAUCAUUAUGCAAAAUAAGUAAGGGGUUGAGUUCGGACCUUGACCGGAAACGCCGUUAGCGGUGGUGCAGUGGCGUUCAGGAUGAACAGCGAUGAGAAGAUCGAUUGAGAGAGGCAGCGCGCGACUGGUGCACAGAGGAGGAUGUCGUGAUUGGUCGCGUAGGUUUUUGAAGUAUCGUCUUCUCUUCUUCCGAUCGUUGUGGAUGCUGUUGCGGUGUUUUAAUUUUUCUCUUACAGUAAUUUUCCUUGGUUUCCAAUUGUGUCCCCCUUUUCUUCUUACUAUUCUAUCUUUUUAUAAUAAAAAACAAUUUUAGGAAUUGAUUUUGAUUGUUGUUAAAUUUGGGAAGAAUGGAUUGUCUACUGUGAUUUGAAUUUCGUAUCAUAUUUGAAAUUGAUUAAUUGAUUUUGGAGUUAAUAAAAAUCUGAUAGAGAUAUGUUUAUGAUUGAAUCGGUA
Molecule: long non-coding RNA, 594 nt
Filed under: Lathyrus oleraceus (garden pea)
Lineage: Eukaryota; Viridiplantae; Streptophyta; Magnoliopsida; Fabales; Fabaceae
Description: Pisum sativum (pea) long non-coding RNA (PSAT_LNC023819)
Source: RNAcentral